GAUGAACGCUAGCGGCAGGCAUAAUACAUGCAAGUUGAACGGGAUUCAGAUAGCAAUAUUUGAUGAGAGUGGCGCACGGGUGCGUAGCACGUAUGCAACUUACCUUAAACUGGGAGAUAGCCCGUGGAAACAUGGAUUAAUAUCCCAUAGUAUAAAGAACAGGCAUUUGUUUUUUAUUAAAGCUCCGGCGGUUUAAGAUGGGCAUGCGCGUCAUUAGCUAGAUGGAGAGGUAACGGCUCACCAUGGCAACGAUGACUAGGGGGUCUGAGAGGAUGUCCCCCCACACUGGUACUGAGACCCGGACCAGACUCCUACGGGAGGCAGCAGUAGGGAAUAUUGGGCAAUGGACGCAAGUCUGACCCAGCCAUGCCGCGUGCAGGAAGACGGCCCUCUGGGUUGUAAACUGCUUUUAUCAGGGAAGAAACCCUUCUACGUGUAGGAGGCUGACGGUACCUGAGGAAUAAGGAUCGGCUAACUCCGUGCCAGCACG
This 490-nucleotide ribosomal RNA is filed under the name uncultured bacterium. Its description in RNAcentral is "bacterial SSU rRNA". It matches the Rfam family "Bacterial small subunit ribosomal RNA", at positions 28 to 515 of the family's 1533-position model. The record is from RNAcentral.